UGUGCCACCGAACUGUCUGAGUCCUGACUCUAACAUUUACUAAUUUUGUGAGCACAGGCACUCUGCCAGGGGCUGGAGAUAUACAGAUUAAAAAUAUAGUCCCUGUCCUCAAGGAGUUUACUGAAGAAAUGAGCAAAGACAAAAUGACUUCAGGGAAUGAAGAGGUAAAGGAAGAUUGGAACUGAAAGAACAUUGCUUUGGCACCUGAAGUCUUGGGUUUGAAUCCCAGCCCUACCUCUAGCUGCAUGGCUUUGGGGAAUUUCCCCCCCAAAGAAGAGGCUGGGCCGCAGGACCUUGAGCACAUAUUCCACUGGGGGUCUGGUCUAUUGUCAUUACAUGGUAGAAAGCAGCUUCUUUGACUGGCAAAAAUGGUGGAGCUGGAAUGGGAGAGGCAGGUGCCUUCAAAAAGUCCCGAGUUGGCUUGGGAUUAGGUUACCCCACCCAACAUCCUGGGGAAAGGAAGGUGUGAACGUGAGUGUGCUGGUGCGGGGGUUGGUGUCAUUGAAGAGGAGACUGGUCUUGGCUGCCAUGAAGGCCCCAGACUCAACUGACCAGAAGUUCAGUCAGCACUGAUGGGGCUCAUCAUUGAAGAGGAGACUGGUCUUGGCCACUGUGAAGUCCCCAGACUCAACUGACCAGAAGUUCAGCCAGCACUGAUGGGGGCUCAUCAUUGAAGAGGAGACUGGUCUUGGCUGCCCUGAAGACCCCACGCUCAACUCACCAGAAGUUCAGCCAGCACUGAUGGGGGCUCAUCAUUGAAGAGGAGACUGAUCUUGGCCGCUGUGAAGUCCCCAGACUCAACUGACCAGAAGUUCAGCCAGCACUGAUGGGGGCUCAUCAUUGAAGAGGAGACUGGUCUUGGCUGCCCUGAAGACCCCACGCUCAACUGACCAGAAGUUCAGCCAACACUGAUGGGGGCUCAUGGGCCAGCGGUUUGAAUAAGUGCUGAUCAAAAGGUGGGCUUCAGCCUGAGGCCAGCUUCCAGGGACCCAAGCUCCAGGGAACCCAGGCUCCAUUGGUUUUCUCCAUCCAGUCCUUGGAAUUAGUGGUACCGUUUGAUGACAAUCUCA
This 1070-nucleotide long non-coding RNA is filed under the name Monodelphis domestica (gray short-tailed opossum). RNAcentral describes it as "lncRNA (ENSMODG00000038888.1)". The record is from RNAcentral. Lineage: Eukaryota; Metazoa; Chordata; Mammalia; Didelphimorphia; Didelphidae.